AGUAGGUCCCAAGGGUAUGGCUGUUCGCCAUUUAAAGUGGUACGCGAGCUGGGUUUAGAACGUCGUGAGACAGUUCGGUCCCUAUCUGCCGUGGGCGCUGGAGAACUGAGGGGGGGCUGCUCCUAGUACGAGAGGACCGGAGUGGACGCAUCACUGGUGUUCGGGUUGUCAUGCCAAUGGCACUGCCCGGUAGCUAAAUGCGGAAGAGAUAAGUGCUGAAAGCAUCUAAGCACGAAACUUGCCCCGAGAUGAGUUCUCCCUGAGACUACAAGUCUCCUGAAGGAACGUUGAAGACGACGACGUUGAUAGGCCGGGUGUGUAAGCGCAGCGAUGCGUUGAGCUAACCGGUACUAAUGAACCGUGAGGCUUAACCUUACAACGCCGAAG
Molecule: ribosomal RNA, 387 nt
Filed under: Salmonella enterica subsp. arizonae serovar 63:g,z51:- str. So 20/20
Lineage: Bacteria; Pseudomonadati; Pseudomonadota; Gammaproteobacteria; Enterobacterales; Enterobacteriaceae
Description: bacterial LSU rRNA
Rfam family: Bacterial large subunit ribosomal RNA
Source: RNAcentral